CCUACGGGGGGCAGCAGUGAGGAAUAUUGGUCAAUGGCCGGAAGGCUGAACCAGCCAUGCCGCGUGAAGGUCAGUGCCCUAUGGGCGUUAAACUUCUUUUGUGCGGGAGCAAUAAUGGUCAAGUGUGGCCAGACGAGAGUACCGUACGAAUAAGCAUCGGCUAACUCCGUGCCAGCAGCCGCGGUAAUACGGGGGAUGCAAGCGUUAUCCGGAUUUAUUGGGUUUUAAGGGUGCGUAGGCUGUGAGGUAAGUCAGCGGUGAAAUGCCCCCGCUCAACGGGGUGAAGUGCCAUUGAUACUGCCUUGCUUGAAUGCGGAUGCCGUGGGAGGAAUGUGUGGUGUAGCGGUGAAAUGCAUAGAUAUCACACAGAACACCGAUUGCGAAGGCAUCUCACGAAUCCGCGAUUGACGUUGAUGCACGAAAGCGUGGGUAUCAAACAGGAUUAGAUACCCCUGUAGUC
This 460-nucleotide ribosomal RNA is filed under the name uncultured bacterium. RNAcentral's name for it is "partial 16S ribosomal RNA". It matches the Rfam family "Bacterial small subunit ribosomal RNA", at positions 338 to 795 of the family's 1533-position model. The record is from RNAcentral.